CGGAGUCUCGCUCCGUCCCCCAGGCGGGAGUGCAGUGGCGCGAUCUCGGCUCACUGCAAGCUCCGCCUCCCGGGUUCACGCCAUCUUGCCACUAAACCUGAUUUACCAACAUAACCUGUUUCUGGCCAUGCUGUGAAUCUGCAUUCUUUACUGUGUCCUUGGGAUACUAGGAGGAACCAGAGGAGCAGAUCCUGCUAGGAGGCUAAGCAUGAAGAAGGAAUUCAAAGAAACCUUGUGGAGAACGAAGACACAGCAGGGAGUCUCUGAUCAAGUGCCACAUCUUUAGAGAAGCUUUUCCAAACAACCGAUUAUGAAGUACACAUUAACAAUGAAGCCUCUUUUCAAGUAAAGAAGUGAGUAGCCUUCAAGCUCCAGAUAAUCCUCAGUGAGGUAUACUGUCCGCUCAAUAUCCAAGAGUCACCCUUCUACAAGGGACCUCUAGACUGCCCAUAAGUGAGACAUGACAGAGGUAAAGUCAUGCUCCUGUCUCCCUUGGACCUGGCUGGAAACUGCAUUCAUCAACCCAUGGAACCACCCCCCUGCCAUGAAAGCUAGCAAGAGGCCAAGACCCACAGAACAACCACCAUCAUCCCUCUGUCAGCAGGAAGCGGUUACAAAAGACUAACCUUUGCCCAUUUUCCCCAAAGAAUUGGGGUCUUGGAAUCUUGAGGGAGGAAAUGUUACAGUAGGUAGCUAGUCAGACAUGAGCAGAGCAGAAGAGGGCUUACACACACACACACACACACACACACACACACCCCACACACAAAGAAUCCUGGGCAACCAUCAGGCGAUUGUAAGGUGGUUGUUAACUGUGUCUCUAAAAUAACGAUUGGUCACAACCAGUGCAAUGGAAAGGCAGUCUCUCAAUAAACAGAAACACCUGGAGCUGAUGAUCAGCAGCUUCCUGAUCAGGUCUCAGAAGUUUGGCAAGCUGGCCUACACAUGCGCACUAAGAGGCAAAAUGGCACAGUUUAACUGGUAUAUGACUUCCAAUGGACAUUCAGCAUGUAAGGGAAAAAUGCCUCAAGUAAGCAUGCAUACAACUCCACUAAACACACUGUGCAUGCUCCCCUCUCAAGUGCUGGCAGGCCAGUGCACAUGGGGACAGCCCACCCCAAAGAAAGUCUCAAGGGUGUAGGGAUGCAAGACCCCGGGAAUAUGCCAAUGUAUUAAACCCUAAGUCAAAAGGUCAAAUCAUGCACUUGUCUUUCAAGUCACCCACUUGACCCUCUUCCAAGUGUACUUUCCUUCCUUUUGUUACUACUCUAAAGCUUUUUAAUAAAUUUUCACUUUUUGAAUUCUUGUCUGCAACUUAGACUAACCUUGCUUGUUUCUCUGAACCAACCAGUGAUCUCUGGCUCGACUCAGAAGCAACAAAUAGAUGGGUAACUUUUCAGACAUGAAUUGGAAUAAGAUAAGGCCAACUUGCUCAACUACAUUCCUUACUAAAACAUAAUAACUAAAAGCUACAGUGUGCAUUUCAUGUUUCACAUGUUCUGUUGCAGUGCCAAGACUAGGUUUAAGCAAUUCAGCUGCACAGUUACCAACCACUUCUUCUUGGAAGAUUUACCUACAAUCUAACUGAUAUACUUAACAAAAUUAUAUUUUUAAUAUUGAUUGUACAAUUUUUUACUCCUUAAUUGUAUCUGACAGCUUCUUAUACUUUAAACUUGAUCAACAGUAAAUUGUGAAGAGAGUAACUAUACACCACAUGGCUUGACAAUAUCCAAACAUCAUUCUUGUUCUACAAAAGUUACAAAUGGU
This 1767-nucleotide long non-coding RNA is filed under the name Homo sapiens (human). RNAcentral's name for it is "HSALNT0284640". The record is from RNAcentral. Lineage: Eukaryota; Metazoa; Chordata; Mammalia; Primates; Hominidae.